UCCCUCCCUCUGAAGCCCCUCUGUGUGGGGAACAUGACAGCCAGACCAAAGCUCAGAGGACCCAUCACAGACCAGGACCAGGACCUGGACCUGGACCCAGCUGUGUGUCCAUGAAGAGAAACCGGUCUAUGAGUCCUCCUCCAAACUUCAAAGAUGUUGCUCCCUCUGUUGAUGCAAGUUCACAUCAGCAGAGAGGAAAGUCUCCUGAACCCAGAUGUUUGUCCAUGAAGAGUG
Non-coding RNA from Gasterosteus aculeatus aculeatus (three-spined stickleback), 234 nucleotides. The record is from RefSeq and is a predicted model, not a curated record. Lineage: Eukaryota; Metazoa; Chordata; Actinopteri; Perciformes; Gasterosteidae.